UACAGAGGUCCCAAGCGUUGUUCGGAUUCACUGGGCGUAAAGGGUGCGUAGGCGGUCGGGUAAGUCUGACGUGAAAUCUCCAAGCUCAACUUGGAAAUGGCGUCGGAUACUAUUCGGCUCGAGGAAUGGAGAGGAGACUGGAAUUCCUGGUGUAGCAGUGAAAUGCGUAGAUAUCAGGAGGAACACCGAUGGCGAAGGCAGGUCUCUGGGCUGACACUGACGCUCAUGCACGAAAGCGUGGGGAGCAAACAGG
RNAcentral lists this ribosomal RNA (253 nucleotides) under uncultured bacterium. RNAcentral describes it as "partial 16S ribosomal RNA". It matches the Rfam family "Bacterial small subunit ribosomal RNA", at positions 524 to 776 of the family's 1533-position model. The record is from RNAcentral.